CCUACGGGAGGCAGCAGUGGGGAAUCUUGGACAAUGGGCGCAAGCCUGAUCCAGCCAUGCCGCGUGAGUGAAGAAGGCCUUAGGGUUGUAAAACUCUUUCGCCGGAGAAGAUAAUGACGGUAUCCGGAGAAGAAGCCCCGGCUAACUUCGUGCCAGCAGCCGCGGUAAUACGAAGGGGGCUAGCGUUGUUCGGAAUUACUGGGCGUAAAGCGCACGUAGGCGGGUUUGUAAGUAUGGGGUGAAAUCCCCGGGCUCAACCCGGGAACUGCCUUAUAGACUGCAAGCCUGGAGGUCAGGAGAGGCGAGUGGAAUUCCGAGUGUAGAGGUGAAAUUCGUAGAUAUUCGGAGGAACACCAGUGGCGAAGGCGACUCGCUGGACUGAUACUGACGCUGAGGUGCGAAAGCGUGGGGAGCAAACAGGAUUAGAUACCCCAGUAGUC
This 440-nucleotide ribosomal RNA is filed under the name uncultured bacterium. Its description in RNAcentral is "bacterial SSU rRNA". It matches the Rfam family "Bacterial small subunit ribosomal RNA", at positions 338 to 795 of the family's 1533-position model. The record is from RNAcentral.